RNAcentral lists this ribosomal RNA (253 nucleotides) under uncultured bacterium. Its description in RNAcentral is "partial 16S ribosomal RNA". It matches the Rfam family "Bacterial small subunit ribosomal RNA", at positions 524 to 776 of the family's 1533-position model. The record is from RNAcentral.
UACGUAGGGGGCGAGCGUUGUCCGGAUUUACUGGGUGUAAAGGGAGCGUAGACGGCUGCGCAAGUCUGAAGUGAAAGCCCGCGGCUCAACCGCGGAACGGCUUUGGAAACUGAGCGGCUGGAGUGCUGGAGGGGCAGGCGGAAUUCCUGGUGUAGCGGUGAAAUGCGUAGAUAUCACGCAGAACUCCGAUUGCGAAGGCAGCGUACCGGCGCCCAACUGACGCUGAAGCACGAAGGCGUGGGUAUCGAACAGG